Brachypodium distachyon (stiff brome) is the source of this 1439-nucleotide long non-coding RNA. RefSeq lists it as uncharacterized. Lineage: Eukaryota; Viridiplantae; Streptophyta; Magnoliopsida; Poales; Poaceae. The record is from RefSeq and is a predicted model, not a curated record. The transcript is spliced from 4 exons.
UUUCUCCGACAAGCAUCGCGAUCCUCCCGUCGUCUCACGCUCCGCAUCGUCUCCGCGCCUCGCCCGUCGCCCGUGCCGCGCCGCGCCGGCCACCACGCAUCGCUUGCGCCUGCGCUGCGAUGCUCCCCCGCGCCUCCUCCCUCGAUUCGGACGGCUUCCCCCACGCUGCUCCCCCGCGCCUCCUCCCGCGCCGCUGCUAAAUCUGAAAUCCGGCACCGGCGAUUCGGGUGGCUCGGCGUAAUUCGGCGGAAUCGAUGAUCUGGUGAUGUGGUGCUGCGGUGCGACGAGGUGGACGAAGCUUCCACCUUGUCCUCCAUGGUGGGCGGCAGCGUGGAAGUGGGCGGCGGCGCGGAAGUGGGUGGUUGAUGUCCCGAUGAGAUCUCUCGUUCGGGGACCGGCGGGCCCUCUUCCUCGUCGUUCCCCAGCUCCGCAAGCUUCCCCAUCGAUCCCCAUCUCCUGCAAGUUAGAUGGAGUACUCCGUAUCACAAAAGAAGACCUUUUAUCUGGUCAGAGCUUAUUGAAACUUACUCAUUGGAGAGCACUAAUAGAGCAUCGAAUUUCAUCAUUGGGGAACUUGAGGUGGAGAUGGUUCCUUAAUCUGCAGUAAAAGUACCAAGUUCAGGUUCAGGCACAAUUGCAGAGACUUCAAUCACAACUUCAGUUCAGUUCAAGUUCAGGCGCAGCUGCAGCCUCAAAUUUGCUUCAGUUCAGUGAAUUGUCCAACUUCAGUUCAGGCUCUGCAGGGAUUGAAAUUGAGGAUCAGAGGAAGGCGGCGACCUCGUCCUCGUCCAGGUCCUCGGCGACCUCAGAGGUCCAGGUCCUCGUCCUCGACGGAGUGGCGGCGGACGGCGAGGGAGCUGCGGAGGAGGGAACUGCGGAGGCGGCUGCAGACGAAGGAGGGAGCGCGGCUAGCAGGCCGGCCACCCUCCGCCCGGCGCGUCCACAAGCUUUGGCGGGAGGCCGGCGGGAGCUCCGCGUGCCUUCGGUGGCGCGAGGACAGCGGGAAGGCGACGGAUGGCAUGGAGGGCAGCACGAUGGAUCUGCGCGUCUGUGUGCUCUGGUGGGAGGCCGGCGGGAGCUCUGCUUGCCUCCGGCGGCGCGACGACAGCGGGACGAAGACGGAGGGCAGCGCGAUGGGAAGAUUUGGUUUUGAAUUUCAGGUUUGAAUUCCAAAUUUCAAAUGAUCCGAACGUUUGGAGGAGUUUUUUGCAAAAUUUGAAUUGCACUGGAGGUGGAGGAGGAGGCGACAUCCUUUCCUGGACAGAGGGAGUAAUAAAAUUGUACAUUUUUCACCUAGUGGGAAUAGCUUGAUGGAAGUAACAUGCAUGCAUGUGCAAAAGUAUGAGUUUUCCACUAAAUAUGUGUGAACAAAUUAAUUAUGUGAUGAUGUGACAUGCUUGUAUGUUUAGAGAAAUUAGGUAGUGGAUUGUUUCAACUUA